CAUGGUUGUCGUCAGCUCGUGUCGUGAGAUGUUCGGGUUAAGUCCCGCAACGAGCGCAACCUCGACCUUAGUUGCCAGCAUUCAGUUGGGCACUCUAAGGUGACUGCCGGCUAAAAGUCGGAGGAAGGUGGGGAUGACGUCAAAUCAUCAUGCCCCUUAUGACCUGGGCUACACACGUGCUACAAUGGGCGGUACAAAGGGUCGCGAACCCGCGAGGGGGAGCCAAUCCCAAAAAGCCGCUCUCAGUUCGGAUUGCAGGCUGCAACUCGCCUGCAUGAAGCCGGAAUCGCUAGUAAUCGCGGAUCAGCAUGCCGCGGUGAAUACGUUCCCGGGCCUU
Molecule: ribosomal RNA, 337 nt
Filed under: uncultured Anoxybacillus sp.
Lineage: Bacteria; Bacillati; Bacillota; Bacilli; Caryophanales; Anoxybacillaceae
Description: bacterial SSU rRNA
Rfam family: Bacterial small subunit ribosomal RNA
Source: RNAcentral